CUGGGGUGCUCGAGUGGCGAACGGGUGAGUAACACGUGGGUGAUCUGCCCUGCACUUCGGGAUAAGCUUGGGAAACUGGGUCUAAUACCGGAUAGGACCAUCGUUUAGUUUCGGUGGUGGAAAGUUUUUUCGGUGUGGGAUGAGCUCGCGGCCUAUCAGCUUGUUGGUUUGGUAAUGGCCUACCAAGGCGUCGACGGGUAGCCGGCCUGAGAGGGUGUACGGCCACAUUGGGACUGAGAUACGGCCCAG
This 249-nucleotide ribosomal RNA is filed under the name uncultured Actinomycetales bacterium. Its description in RNAcentral is "partial 16S ribosomal RNA". It matches the Rfam family "Bacterial small subunit ribosomal RNA", at positions 82 to 334 of the family's 1533-position model. The record is from RNAcentral. Lineage: Bacteria; Bacillati; Actinomycetota; Actinomycetes; Actinomycetales.